GACGAGCGCUGGCGGCGUGCCUAAUACAUGCAAGUCGAACGAGAGCGACCGGUGCUUGCACUGGUCAAUCUAGUGGCGAACGGGUGAGUAACACGUGGGUAACCUGCCCAUCAGAGGGGGAUAACAUCCGGAAACGGAUGCUAAAACCGCAUAGGUCUUCGAACCGCAUGGUUUGAAGAGGAAAAGAGGCGCAAGCUUCUGCUGAUGGAUGGACCCGCGGUGCAUUAGCUAGUUGGUGAGGUAACGGCUCACCAAGGCCGUGAUGCAUAGCCGACCUGAGAGGGUGAUCGGCCACAUUGGGACUGAGACACGGCCCAAACUCCUACGGGAGGCAGCAGUAGGGAAUCUUCCGCAAUGGACGCAAGUCUGACGGAGCAACGCCGCGUGAGUGAAGAAGGUUUUCGGAUCGUAAAACUCUGUUGUUAGAGAAGAACAAGUGCUAGAGUAACUGUUAGCGCCUUGACGGUAUCUAACCAGAAAGCCACGGCUAACUACGUG
This 498-nucleotide ribosomal RNA is filed under the name uncultured bacterium. RNAcentral's name for it is "partial 16S ribosomal RNA". It matches the Rfam family "Bacterial small subunit ribosomal RNA", at positions 28 to 507 of the family's 1533-position model. The record is from RNAcentral.